This 498-nucleotide ribosomal RNA is filed under the name uncultured bacterium. RNAcentral describes it as "partial 16S ribosomal RNA". It matches the Rfam family "Bacterial small subunit ribosomal RNA", at positions 29 to 507 of the family's 1533-position model. The record is from RNAcentral.
AGCGAACGCUGGCGGCGUGCCUAACACAUGCAAGUCGAACGUGAAAAGGGAAACCUGAGUAAAGUGGCGUACGGGUGAGUAACGCGUAGGUAAUCUACCCCAGAAUCUGGAAUAACCUGCCGAAAGGCGGGCUAAUACUGGAUAGAGCGAGGGAACUCGUAAGAGAGUUUUUCGGGAAAGGGAGCCCGCAAGGGCCUUCGUUCUGGGAUGAGCCUGCGUCUCAUUAGCUAGUUGGUAAGGUAACGGCUUACCAAGGCGAUGAUGAGUAGCUGGUCUGAGAGGAUGAUCAGCCACACUGGAACUGAAACACGGUCCAGACUCCUACGGGAGGCAGCAGUGGGGAAUCUUGCGCAAUGGACGAAAGUCUGACGCAGCCACGCCGCGUGAGUGAAGAAGGCCUUCGGGUUGUAAAGCUCUGUCGGAUGGGACGAACAUCUUCAUAGUGAAUAGCCAUGAGGACUGACGGUACCAUCAAAGGAAGCACCGGCUAACUCCGUG